RNAcentral lists this ribosomal RNA (436 nucleotides) under uncultured Anaerolineaceae bacterium. RNAcentral describes it as "bacterial SSU rRNA". It matches the Rfam family "Bacterial small subunit ribosomal RNA", at positions 933 to 1382 of the family's 1533-position model. The record is from RNAcentral. Lineage: Bacteria; Bacillati; Chloroflexota; Anaerolineae; Anaerolineales; Anaerolineaceae.
CGGAGUCGUGUGGUUUAAUUCGUUGCUACACGAAGUAACCUUACCUGGGUUUGACAUAUAGGUUGUAGGGAACUGAAAGGGACCGACCCUUCGGGGAGCCUAUACAGGUGUUGCAUGGCUGUCGUCAGCUCGUGUCGUGAGAUGUUCGGUUAAGUCCGCUAACGAGCGCAACCCUCGUCGUAUGUUAUAUGUGUCAUACGAGACUGCCGGUAAAAGCCGGAGGAAGGUGAGGAUGAUGUCAAGUCAGCAUGACCUUUAUAUCCAGGGCUACACACACGCUACAAUGGUCUGUACAAUGGGUAGCCAAGCCGCGAGGCGGAGCCAAUCCUGAAAGCAGGCCUCAGUUCAGAUUGCAGUCUGCAACUCGACUGCAUGAAGCCGGAGUUGCUAGUAACCGCAGGUCAGCAAUACUGCGGUGAAUACGUUCCCGGGUCUU